Molecule: ribosomal RNA, 440 nt
Filed under: uncultured bacterium
Lineage: Bacteria
Description: partial 16S ribosomal RNA
Rfam family: Bacterial small subunit ribosomal RNA
Source: RNAcentral
CCUACGGGAGACUGCAGUGGGGAAUAUUGCACAAUGGGGGAAACCCUGAUGCAGCGACGCCGCGUGAGUGAAGAAGUAUUUCGGUAUGUAAAGCUCUAUCAGCAGGGAAGAAAAUGACGGUACCUGAUUAAGAAGCCCCGGCUAACUACGUGCCAGCAGCCGCGGUAAUACGUAGGGGGCAAGCGUUAUCCGGAUUUACUGGGUGUAAAGGGGGCGUAGACGGCAGCACAAGUCUGGAGGGAAAGGCCGGGGCUUAACCCCGGAACUGCUUUGGAAACUGUGCAGCUAGAGUGCAGGAGAGGUAAGUGGAAUUCCUAGUGUAGCGGUGAAAUGCGUAGAUAUUAGGAGGAACACCAGUGGCGAAGGCGGCUUACUGGACUGUAACUGACGUUGAGGCUCGAAAGCGUGGGGAGCAAACAGGAUUAGAUACCCUUGUAGUC